GAUGAACGCUGGCGGCGUGCCUAAUACAUGCAAGUCGAGCGAACGGACGAGGAGCUUGCUUCUCUGAUGUUAGCGGCGGACGGGUGAGUAACACGUGGAUAACCUACCUAUAAGACUGGGAUAACUUCGGGAAACCGGAGCUAAUACCGGAUAAUAUUUUGAACCGCAUGGUUCAAAAGUGAAAGACGGUCUUGCUGUCACUUAUAGAUGGAUCCGCGCUGCAUUAGCUAGUUGGUAAGGUAACGGCUUACCAAGGCAACGAUGCAUAGCCGACCUGAGAGGGUGAUCGGCCACACUGGAACUGAGACACGGUCCAGACUCCUACGGGAGGCAGCAGUAGGGAAUCUUCCGCAAUGGGCGAAAGCCUGACGGAGCAACGCCGCGUGAGUGAUGAAGGUCUUCGGAUCGUAAAACUCUGUUAUUAGGGAAGAACAUAUGUGUAAGUAACUGUGCACAUCUUGACGGUACCUAAUCAGAAAGCCACGGCUAACUACGUGCCAGCAGCCGCGGUAAUACGUAGGUGGCAAGCGUUAUCCGGAAUUAUUGGGCGUAAAGCGCGCGUAGGCGGUUUUUUAAGUCUGAUGUGAAAGCCCACGGCUCAACCGUGGAGGGUCAUUGGAAACUGGAAAACUUGAGUGCAGAAGAGGAAAGUGGAAUUCCAUGUGUAGCGGUGAAAUGCGCAGAGAUAUGGAGGAACACCAGUGGCGAAGGCGACUUUCUGGUCUGUAACUGACGCUGAUGUGCGAAAGCGUGGGGAUCAAACAGGAUUAGAUACCCUGGUAGUCCACGCCGUAAACGAUGAGUGCUAAGUGUUAGGGGGUUUCCGCCCCUUAGUGCUGCAGCUAACGCAUUAAGCACUCCGCCUGGGGAGUACGACCGCAAGGUUGAAACUCAAAGGAAUUGACGGGGACCCGCACAAGCGGUGGAGCAUGUGGUUUAAUUCGAAGCAACGCGAAGAACCUUACCAAAUCGUGACAUCCUUUGACAACUCUAGAGAUAGAGCCUUCCCCUUCGGGGGGCAAAGUGACAGGUGGUGCAUGGUUGUCGUCAGCUCGUGUCGUGAGAUGUUGGGUUAAGUCCCGCAACGAGCGCAACCCUUAAGCUUAGUUGCCAUCAUUAAGUUGGGCACUCUAAGUUGACUGCCGGUGACAAACCGGAGGAAGGUGGGGAUGACGUCAAAUCAUCAUGCCCCUUAUGAUUUGGGCUACACACGUGCUACAAUGGACAAUACAAAGGGCAGCGAAACCGCGAGGUCAAGCAAAUCCCAUAAAGUUGUUCUCAGUUCGGAUUGUAGUCUGCAACUCGACUACAUGAAGCUGGAAUCGCUAGUAAUCGUAGAUCAGCAUGCUACGGUGAAUACGUUCCCGGGUCU
Molecule: ribosomal RNA, 1372 nt
Filed under: uncultured bacterium
Lineage: Bacteria
Description: bacterial SSU rRNA
Rfam family: Bacterial small subunit ribosomal RNA
Source: RNAcentral